This 66-nucleotide transfer RNA is filed under the name Stylochus stellae. Its description in RNAcentral is "tRNA-Arg". The record is from RNAcentral. Lineage: Eukaryota; Metazoa; Platyhelminthes; Polycladida; Stylochidae.
CGUGAGAAAUUCAUUUGUGAAGAUUGGUUUCGGCCCUUUUGUUGAGUGUUUUUCGCUCUCUCAUGU